Sardina pilchardus (European sardine) is the source of this 668-nucleotide long non-coding RNA. RefSeq lists it as uncharacterized. Lineage: Eukaryota; Metazoa; Chordata; Actinopteri; Clupeiformes; Clupeidae. The record is from RefSeq and is a predicted model, not a curated record. The transcript has 5 exons.
UUUGGAGAAGAACGCAACAAGCAGAAGCACCAUCUGUACAAUCACUGGGAACACUUUUUUUCUUCAAGUGUGUAAAAACUGCGCUUCAUGUCAAGAGAUGAUGUGACGCUUUUAUCGAGAAUAGCCGGUCAGUGACACGGAUCAGGAUGUUAGCUGAUCUGAUCUGAGUACCAUCUGUUGAAAGGACUUCUGUUGAACUGCAGUACCAUCUGAUGAAAGGACAGACAGGUGACCUAUAGAAGCCUCACAGGGACACCAUGAACAGGGCAGGCUCCUCUGUGUCCAGUGCCUCAUCCAUGAGGAGUGACCGGUCAAAAGACCAUCCACCUGAACUCAGGGGGGAAGAGAGAAGCAUCAGGUCCUGGGAAUCUGGUUAUGCGCCAUCUGUGUCAACCUCUAGUGGAUCAUCAUUAUCAGCAGGUCGGGUGUUGUGUGAUGCUUGCAAUCACACGGCAGUGAAGACCUGUUUGACCUGCAUGGCCUCCUACUGUGGGACUCAUGUGAAGCACCACUACACAUCUCCAGAGCUGGAGAAACACCAGCUACAGGACCUCACGCAUGACCUCUGUGAACAGCAUCACAAGAAGCUUGAGCUGUACUGCAGGACCGACCAAUUAGAAAUCUGCUUGAGAUGCUUUUUUCAAGAUCACAUGACACAUGAUGUCAUU